Molecule: ribosomal RNA, 253 nt
Filed under: uncultured bacterium
Lineage: Bacteria
Description: partial 16S ribosomal RNA
Rfam family: Bacterial small subunit ribosomal RNA
Source: RNAcentral
UACGUAGGGUGCAAGCGUUAAUCGGAAUUACUGGGCGUAAAGCGUGCGCAGGCGGUUAUGUAAGACCGGUGUGAAAUCCCCGGGCUUAACCUGGGAACUGCAUUGGUGACUGCAUUGCUGGAGUAUGGCAGAGGGGGGUGGAAUUCCACGUGUAGCAGUGAAAUGCGUAGAGAUGUGGAGGAACACCGAUGGCGAAGGCAGCCCCCUGGGCCAAUACUGACGCUCAUGCACGAAAGCGUGGGGAGCAAACAGG